This 505-nucleotide ribosomal RNA is filed under the name uncultured bacterium. Its description in RNAcentral is "partial 16S ribosomal RNA". It matches the Rfam family "Bacterial small subunit ribosomal RNA", at positions 28 to 507 of the family's 1533-position model. The record is from RNAcentral.
GACGAACGCUGGCGGCGUGCCUAAUACAUGCAAGUAGAACGCACAGUUUAUACCGUAGCUUGCUACACCAUAGACUGUGAGGUGCGAACGGGUGAGUAACGCGUAGGUAACCUGCCUGGUAGCGGGGGAUAACUAUUGGAAACGAUAGCUAAUACCGCAUAAUAUUGAUUAUUGCAUGAUAAUUAAUUGAAAGGUGCAAUUGCACCACUACCAGAUGGACCUGCGUUGUAUUAGCUAGUAGGUGAGGUAACGGCUCACCCAGGCGACGGUACAUAGCCGACCUGGGAGGGUGGUCGGCCACCCUGGGACUGAGACACGGCCCAGACUCCUUCGGGGGGCAGCAGUAGGGAAUCUUCGGCAAUAGACGGAAGUCUGACCGAGCAACGCCGCGUGAGUGGAGAAGGUUUUCGGAUCGUAAAGCUCUGUUGUAAGAGAAGAACGGGUGUGAGAGUGGAAAGUUCACACUGUGACGGUAUCUUACCAGAAAGGGACGGCUAACUACGUG